Molecule: ribosomal RNA, 443 nt
Filed under: uncultured bacterium
Lineage: Bacteria
Description: partial 16S ribosomal RNA
Rfam family: Bacterial small subunit ribosomal RNA
Source: RNAcentral
CCUACGGGAGGCAGCAGUGGGGAAUAUUGGGCAAUGGGCGCAAGCCUGACCCAGCAACGCCGCGUGAAGGAAGAAGGCUUUCGGGUUGUAAACUUCUUUUCUCAGGGACGAAGAAAGUGACGGUACCUGAGGAAUAAGUCACGGCUAACUACGUGCCAGCAGCCGCGGGAAUACGUAGGUGGCAAGCGUUAUCCGGAUUCAUUGGGUGUAAAGGGCGUGUAGGCGGGAGCGCAAGUCAGAUGUGAAAACUCAGGGCUGAACCCUGAGCCUGCAUUUGAAACUGUGUUUCUUGAGUGCUGGAGAGGCAAUCGGAAUGCCGUGUGUAGCGGUGAAAUGCGUAGAUAUACGGAGGAACACCGGUGGCGAAGGCAGAUUGCUGGACAGUAACUGACGCUGAGGCGCGAAAGCGUGGGGAGCAAACAGGAUUAGAUACCCGAGUAGUC